UGAGGAAUAUUGGUCAAUGGGCGGAAGCCUGAACCAGCCAUGCCGCGUGAAGGAAGAAGGUCCUAUGGAUUUUAAACUUCUUUUGUCGGAGAGCAAUAAGGGUCUCGCGAGAUCCGAUGAGAGUAUCCGACGAAUAAGCAUCGGCUAACUCCGUGCCAGCAGCCGCGGUAAUACGGAGGAUGCGAGCGUUAUCCGGAUUUAUUGGGUUUAAAGGGUGCGCAGGCGGCGCGCCAAGUCAGCGGUCAAAGUUCCGGGCUCAACCCGGUGUCGCCGUUGAAACUGGCGUGCUCGAGUGCGUGCGAGGAAGGCGGAAUGCGUUGUGUAGCGGUGAAAUGCAUAGAUAUGACGCAGAACUCCGAUUGCGAAGGCAGCUUUCCAGCGCGCUACUGACGCUGAGGCACGAAAGCGUGGGGA
Molecule: ribosomal RNA, 414 nt
Filed under: uncultured Barnesiella sp.
Lineage: Bacteria; Pseudomonadati; Bacteroidota; Bacteroidia; Bacteroidales; Barnesiellaceae
Description: bacterial SSU rRNA
Rfam family: Bacterial small subunit ribosomal RNA
Source: RNAcentral